GUCAGUUAAGAAAAAAAUCUUGUUUUCAGUGACAGCCUAUGAACAGUGGUGGGCUUUAUUCAGGGGUAGAGUGACAGAUUUUUUACUUUGUCAGCUCAGGGAUUUGAUCUUGCAACCAUUCAGUUACUAGUCCAACAGUCUAACCACUAGGCUACCUGCCACCGUGCUAUGGAAGGUGCAGCCAUGAAAUGGAGUAUCAGUAUACUCAGUGACCCCCACAGAACACCAUUUUCAAUGGUUUACAGAAAUAUUAGUGUCUCCGCUCUUAUUGCAGGACUUUGACUGUGGGAAAUCACCUGACUAUUCAGCCUAUUGUGCGUAUCGGAAAUCCAUAUUUCACUCAGCCUUACCUAUGGAUUGUGCACCGAUGAAAUGGGGUAUCAGCCUACUCAGUGACACCCAUUUGGACCAUUUUCCUGUCCUGCUAAGCAUUGAAAAUGUACCGAGAACUUUUUGGUGUCAGGGAAAACUUAUGGAGUAAAAAGUACAUUAUUUUCUUUAGGAAUGUAGUGAAGUAAAAUAAAAGUUGUAAAAAAUACAAAUAGUAAAUAAAGUACAGAUACCCCCCAAAACAAAUUCAUUAGUACUUUAAAGUAUUUUAUUUAAGUACUUUACACCACUGCCCAUUAUUUCACAACAGUUCAGUGAGCUAUGUACUAGCCUUGAUCUAUUUGCACCAUCUAGUGCUAAGAGUUUAUAGUUAGUUUGUAGUGAUUUUGCCUUAACAACCUUUUACUGCAGUGAGCUAAAUUAGGGUCACACAAAGUGUUUCUUGGUAGUCCUAAACACAUCUACUUUGAAACCAAAGUAUACACCACACACACAUGGUUAUGGGCUUAAAAAAAAGAAGGCACAUGUACCAUGUCAGAUAUAGAGUUGAAAAUAAUGUAGUGUUAAAGCCUUCACAUAUUUGAUUCAUAGCUUUGUAUUCAUCUGGAACUUCCCUGAGGAUGCCAAUAGCAUUCAUCUAGACAAAGCUACUCCCAUGCUGGUCAAAACUCCUCCUGUGCCUACUUUAGCCUCCUAUAACUGGCCUCUGAUGACUAAUUCGAACUGGUUGGACCUAUAACCCCAGGGCGCAAGUUCCUAACCACCCUUUGUGGUAAUUUCUGUCGUAUGCAUCCUUUGCUGGUACUAGCCCACCCUUCAGUUAUAGGUGCUGUGAGGUUAAGAAUUUUCUAUUAAUCUUUCAAACCUAAUUCAGUCAAAUUAACGAUUACUUUCAGCCAUUAAAAUCAUCUAAGUUCUCGGUGACAUUCUUGUAUCUAUAACACUGGUACUCAUCAGGAGUUAAGGUGAACCGAGGUGGGUUGGCUAAGCACUUCUAUCUGGCCAACCCCAAUUCCUGUACAGUAGUCUGCUUUCCCAGGAAAUUGUUUAAUGUUUACCUUAAAUUCUACAUCUUGAUUUUCUUUAAUGCCUUAUUCUGUAUGUCACUCAUCAGUGUAUUAUAUAGUUUAUCUUUUCAUUUUUAUAAAUGACAACGGUGUCGUAUGAUUGGUGUCUUAUGAUUAGUACCGGAAGGUGGUGGAUCUGAAUGUAUCAGAAAGAUUAGACUAUGAUGCAGCUCAGAGCCUCUACUCUUACCAAAAACCGCCAACCCUCUCCUGUCCUUAGUCAAUCUGCUAGGUACCACCCCAUACUCACACCUCUAGGAGCACACACAGUGAUGAACGGUCGGGAUAGGGAAUCUUCGUUAAGGAGGUAGCCCCCGGACCCUGUUGGUACUCAGUUCUUCUCCUAACUCUGUGUGAUCAGCAGUGCUCAUAUGUGUACAUACCUUCUUGCAGUGGAUAACGUGGACCCAAGUGACUCUCUCAGCUUCUCUAAUGGCAAAGGCAGUGGUUUAACAGAACCUGGUAUGGGCCUUCCCAACGGGGCUGCUUCCAGUCUUUUCUCCUCAGGGACUGGAUCCACACCCAGUCUCCUGGUUGUACUGAGUGAAUCACCUUCUCCUGUAAUUCACCUGUUGGACAAAAAAUCUUGGACAUACGGGUUUGGUUAACAAACAGUCUUUUCAUGUGCUCUAGUAUUUCUUCAACUUCUAUGUCUACCUGUUCUGGUAUCUCUAACUCUGGCAUUCUAUAGGCUCUACCUGAUUAGCUAAAAUGUCAUCCAUCAUUUAAAGAGAUGGCUCCUAGUAAACCAACUCUAGGGAUCAUAUCUUGACUUAAUAUUUUAGCUACCAUAAUCAUGUCCACCAAGUAAGUUGGGAACGCUUCUACCCAUUUGCUAUACUUAUCUAUUAUUGUUAAACACCCCUUCUUCCCCUCAAUUUGGAAUAGUUCACUAAGUCCAUUUCCAAAUGUUGGAAUGGAUAUUCUACAAAAAAUGUUUUUGUUUAAGUAAUAUCCUAACCUGUUCUAUCGCCUGCUCUACCAUACUCCCCCUAUUUAUACAUGGCUCAAGCCAUGUAUCAAUAUUGCUGCAUAUCUAAACAAAUUAUCCUUAUGUCAGCCCUUCUCUUGUAGGAUUGCCCCCUUUCAUUUUCCACAUGUCCAAUUCUCCCUGGGGCAUUCAUCCUUAGCUACCCUGUAACAAUUCUCUGUCAAGUGUCUUAUUUAAGAUUUAUCUGUGCUGCUUUGUAUGGUUUUAAAUGCCUAUGUGCUUGUCUGUGUAAAUAGUCAUAUCUCUUCUUAGCGAAUUUACCAAACAUAAACUUAAAAUCAAAACUAAAAUACAUGCCAAAUGGAGCCGAUAGUCUCUCCAUGAAUUAAUAUCAUAACUAAGCGAACCAAACUAAAUUAUCUUCCUAUCUUCUAUUCUUAUUAUGUAUUUUCUGUCUGUCCCAGUAUUAUUUCUGUCCUCACCUGUGUCAUGACGUUGGCCUCUUUUGGUACAGGGAGGACAGUUGACCCCCUCCCUUUUGCACCACCACCCAACCUACCUUCCCCCCAAUCCACCCUGUGUGUAAAGGGUUGUAAAAACUCUAAAAUUCCAGGAGAGUCUCUGGCCACAUGGCCCAUAGAGAGACACAGGAAAUUCUUCCAACUCAUAGAAUUG
This 3003-nucleotide long non-coding RNA is filed under the name Salmo salar (Atlantic salmon). RNAcentral describes it as "lncRNA (ENSSSAG00000114950.1)". Lineage: Eukaryota; Metazoa; Chordata; Actinopteri; Salmoniformes; Salmonidae. The record is from RNAcentral.